Molecule: ribosomal RNA, 484 nt
Filed under: uncultured bacterium
Lineage: Bacteria
Description: partial 16S ribosomal RNA
Rfam family: Bacterial small subunit ribosomal RNA
Source: RNAcentral
AUUGAACGCUGGCGGCAGGCCUAACACAUGCAAGUCGAGCGGAUGAAGGGAGCUUGCUCCUGGAUUCAGCGGCGGACGGGUGAGUAAUGCCUAGGAAUCUGCCUGGUAGUGGGGGAUAACGUCCGGAAACGGGCGCUAAUACCGCCUACGUCCUGAGGGUGCAAGUGGGUGAUCUUCGGACCUCACGCUAUCAUAUGAGCCUAGGUCGGAUUAGCUAGUUGGUGGGGUAAAGGCCUACCAAGGCGACGAUCCGUAACUGGUCUGAGAGGAUGAUCAGUCACACGGGAAAUGAGACACGGUCAAGACUCCUAAGGGAGGCAGCAGUGGGGAAUAUUGGGCAAUGGGCGAAAGCCUGAUCCAGCCAUGCAGAGUGUGUGAAGAAGGUCUUCGGAUUGUAAAGCACGUUAAGUUGGGAGGAAGGGCAGUAAGUUGAUACCUUGCUGGUUUGACGUUACCAACAGAAUAAGCACCGGCUAACUUCGUG